Panthera pardus (leopard) is the source of this 334-nucleotide unclassified non-coding RNA. NCBI's taxonomy places the organism in Eukaryota, Metazoa, Chordata, Mammalia, Carnivora, Felidae. The record is from Ensembl.
AAAAGGAGAUAUGAAAUUCAACUUUUUGCUUUCUUUCCCUUUUUGCUUUUCACAUAGUUCAGUUGGGAAUCUUUCUAGGUGCGGUAUUUAUUUUGUUUGUGUUAGUCUGGUCAUUAUAAAGUUAUCUAGGAAGCUAGGAGAGCUGACCAGCAGAAGGGAAAAAAAGCAGUCUAUUCUGACUACACUGACCAAAGGAGUUCAAUUCAUACCAAACAUCUUUCUCCCACUUAGAAAACAUCCUAGCAUUUAAGGCCUUCUACUAUAAGCCCAUUACUAGUUCUUUUCCUUUCUCUUUCAUUUCUCUCUGCUCUCAUAUUUGUGUCGACUGUUCCUA